Molecule: ribosomal RNA, 229 nt
Filed under: uncultured bacterium
Lineage: Bacteria
Description: partial 16S ribosomal RNA
Rfam family: Bacterial small subunit ribosomal RNA
Source: RNAcentral
UAAAGUGGCGUACGGGUGAGUAACACGUGGAUGAUCUACCUUUUAGUGGGGAAUACCGUUGGGAAACCGACGACAAUACCGCAUAAGCCUGAGAAGGGAAAGCAGCAAUGCGCUGAAAGAGGAGUCCGCGGUCGAUUAGGUAGUUGGCAGGGUAAAAGCCUACCAAGCCUGUGAUCGAUAGCCGGCCUGAGAGGGCACACGGCCACACUGGCACUGAAACACGGGCCAG